CGGGGUAUAGCGCAGUCUGGUAGCGCACCUGCUUUGGGAGCAGGGGGUCGUGGGUUCAAAUCCCCCUACCCCGACCA
This 77-nucleotide transfer RNA is filed under the name Gammaproteobacteria bacterium. RNAcentral's name for it is "tRNA-Pro". It matches the Rfam family "tRNA". From Rfam's summary of the family: Transfer RNA (tRNA) molecules are approximately 80 nucleotides in length. Their secondary structure includes four short double-helical elements and three loops (D, anti-codon, and T loops). RNAcentral also lists the same sequence under 1 other name. Lineage: Bacteria; Pseudomonadati; Pseudomonadota; Gammaproteobacteria. The record is from RNAcentral.